Molecule: ribosomal RNA, 253 nt
Filed under: uncultured bacterium
Lineage: Bacteria
Description: partial 16S ribosomal RNA
Rfam family: Bacterial small subunit ribosomal RNA
Source: RNAcentral
GACGUAGGGCGCGAGCGUGGUCCGGAUUUAUUGGGCGUAAAGAGCUCGUAGGCGGCUUGUUGCGUCGACUGUGAAAACCCGCGGCUUAACUGCGGGCUUGCAGUUGAUACGGGCAGGCUAGAGUUCGGUAGGGGAGACUGGAAUUCCUGGUGUAGCGGUGAAAUGCGCAGAUAUCAGGAGGAACACCGGUGGCGAAGGCGGGUCUCUGGGCCGAUACUGACGCUGAGGAGCGAAAGCGUGGGGAGCGAACAGG